AGCUACAUAGCUCAGGGGAAGAGUGAGUUACCUUGCUUCUCAAUAAUUAUCAUCAUCACAAUGUACUGACAAUCAAUCAAGGCGCCGGGCUCAUAACCCGGAGGUCGCUGGAUCGAAACCAGUUGUAGCUA
Molecule: non-coding RNA, 131 nt
Organism: Cytospora paraplurivora
Lineage: Eukaryota; Fungi; Ascomycota; Sordariomycetes; Diaporthales; Cytosporaceae
Source: the annotation of a GenBank genome assembly